RNAcentral lists this ribosomal RNA (1034 nucleotides) under Salmonella enterica. RNAcentral describes it as "bacterial SSU rRNA". It matches the Rfam family "Bacterial small subunit ribosomal RNA", at positions 108 to 1139 of the family's 1533-position model. The record is from RNAcentral. Lineage: Bacteria; Pseudomonadati; Pseudomonadota; Gammaproteobacteria; Enterobacterales; Enterobacteriaceae.
GAGUAAUGUCUGGGAAACUGCCUGAUGGAGGGGGAUAACUACUGGAAACGGUGGCUAAUACCGCAUAACGUCGCAAGACCAAAGAGGGGGACCUUCGGGCCUCUUGCCAUCAGAUGUGCCCAGAUGGGAUUAGCUUGUUGGUGAGGUAACGGCUCACCAAGGCGACGAUCCCUAGCUGGUCUGAGAGGAUGACCAGCCACACUGGAACUGAGACACGGUCCAGACUCCUACGGGAGGCAGCAGUGGGGAAUAUUGCACAAUGGGCGCAAGCCUGAUGCAGCCAUGCCGCGUGUAUGAAGAAGGCCUUCGGGUUGUAAAGUACUUUCAGCGGGGAGGAAGGUGUUGUGGUUAAUAACCGCAGCAAUUGACGUUACCCGCAGAAGAAGCACCGGCUAACUCCGUGCCAGCAGCCGCGGUAAUACGGAGGGUGCAAGCGUUAAUCGGAAUUACUGGGCGUAAAGCGCACGCAGGCGGUCUGUCAAGUCGGAUGUGAAAUCCCCGGGCUCAACCUGGGAACUGCAUUCGAAACUGGCAGGCUUGAGUCUUGUAGAGGGGGGUAGAAUUCCAGGUGUAGCGGUGAAAUGCGUAGAGAUCUGGAGGAAUACCGGUGGCGAAGGCGGCCCCCUGGACAAAGACUGACGCUCAGGUGCGAAAGCGUGGGGAGCAAACAGGAUUAGAUACCCUGGUAGUCCACGCCGUAAACGAUGUCUACUUGGAGGUUGUGCCCUUGAGGCGUGGCUUCCGGAGCUAACGCGUUAAGUAGACCGCCUGGGGAGUACGGCCGCAAGGUUAAAACUCAAAUGAAUUGACGGGGGCCCGCACAAGCGGUGGAGCAUGUGGUUUAAUUCGAUGCAACGCGAAGAACCUUACCUGGUCUUGACAUCCACGGAAGAAUUCAGAGAUGGAUUUGUGCCUUCGGGAACCGUGAGACAGGUGCUGCAUGGCUGUCGUCAGCUCGUGUUGUGAAAUGUUGGGUUAAGUCCCGCAACGAGCGCAACCCUUAUCCUUUGUUGCCAGCGGUCCGGCCGGGAACU